CUGAGACACGGCCCAGACUCCUACGGGAGGCAGCAGUAGGGAAUCUUCCGCAAUGGACGAAAGUCUGACGGAGCAACGCCGCGUGAGUGAUGAAGGUUUUCGGAUCGUAAAGCUCUGUUGUUAGGGAAGAACAAGUGCGAGAGUAACUGCUCGCACCUUGACGGUACCUAACCAGAAAGCCACGGCUAACUACGUGCCAGCAGCCGCGGUAAUACGUAGGUGGCAAGCGUUGUCCGGAAUUAUUGGGCGUAAAGGGCUCGCAGGCGGUUUCUUAAGUCUGAUGUGAAAGCCCCCGGCUCAACCGGGGAGGGUCAUUGGAAACUGGGAAACUUGAGUGCAGAAGAGGAGAGUGGAAUUCCACGUGUAGCGGUGAAAUGCGUAGAGAUGUGGAGGAACACCAGUGGCGAAGGCGACUCUCUGGUCUGUAACUGACGCUGAGGAGCGAAAGCGUGGGGNAGCGAACAGGAUUAGAUACCCUGGUAGUCCACGCCGUAAACGAUGAGUGCUAAGUGUUAGGGGGUUUCCGCCCCUUAGUGCUGCAGCUAACGCAUUAAGCACUCCGCCUGGGGAGUACGGUCGCAAGACUGAAACUCAAAGGAAUUGACGGGGGCCCGCACAAGCGGUGGAGCAUGUGGUUUAAUUCGAAGCAACGCGAAGAACCUUACCAGGUCUUGACAUCCUCUGACAACCCUAGAGAUAGGGCUUUCCCUUCGGGGACAGAGUGACAGGUGGUGCAUGGUUGUCGUCAGCUCGUGUCGUGAGAUGUUGGGUUAAGUCCCGCAACGAGCGCAACCCUUGAUCUUAGUUGCCAGCAUUUAGUUGGGCACUCUAAGGUGACUGCCGGUGACAAACCGGAGGAAGGUGGGGAUGACGUCAAAUCAUCAUGCCCCUUAUGACCUGGGCUACACAC
This 910-nucleotide ribosomal RNA is filed under the name Bacillus sp. B105(2016). RNAcentral describes it as "bacterial SSU rRNA". It matches the Rfam family "Bacterial small subunit ribosomal RNA", at positions 319 to 1221 of the family's 1533-position model. Lineage: Bacteria; Bacillati; Bacillota; Bacilli; Caryophanales; Bacillaceae. The record is from RNAcentral.